UACGGGAGGCAGCAGUGGGGAAUAUUGCACAAUGGGCGAAAGCCUGAUGCAGCUAUGCCGCGUGUAUGAAGAAGGCCUUAGGGUUGUAAAGUACUUUCAUCGGGGAGGAAAAAACAAACUAAUAAUUUUAUUUCUUGACGUUACCCGAAAAAGAAGCACCGGCUAACUCCGUGCCAGCAGCCGCGGUAAUACGGAGGGUGCUAGCGUUAAUCAGAAUUACUGGGCGUAAAGAGCACGUAGGUGGUUUUUUUAAGUUCAGAUGUGAAAUCCCUGGGCUUAACCUAGGAACUGCAUUUUGAAACUGAAAUACUAGAGUAUCGUAGAGGGAGGUAGAAUUCUAGGUGUAGCGGUGAAAUGCGUAGAUAUCUGGAGGAAUACCUGUGGCGAAAGCGGCCUCCUAAACGAAUACUGACACUGAGGUGCGAAAGCGUGGGGAGCAAACAGGGAUUAGAUACC
RNAcentral lists this ribosomal RNA (456 nucleotides) under uncultured bacterium. Its description in RNAcentral is "bacterial SSU rRNA". It matches the Rfam family "Bacterial small subunit ribosomal RNA", at positions 340 to 786 of the family's 1533-position model. The record is from RNAcentral.